GGCCGUGGCAAGCUGUGAUUUCUCUUCAGCAAAACACCAGCUGUCACCAGCGUUAUGAAAUUAAUUCCCAAGAUAGAGGGAAAAUGACUUUGUCAGACAAGGCAACUCUUUUGUGAGGACAACCAAUAAGCAGAAACGCAUCCAGAAAGCCCCCAGACUUCUCCAGUCCAUGCUUCUGACGCAGCUCAGCCAAGACAAAAUGGAGAUGGAGCAGUUGUACCACUUGGCCUUAAAAGAGACUCAGGGAAGAGAUUGCUGGAAACAUUUCAGUGUGUGGCAGAAUGACACGCUCACAAGUGGACUCUGGGAACUGUUGGCCAACGAGUACCUUUUGGCCCGUUGUCUUGCAGAUCUUGAU
Mastomys coucha (southern multimammate mouse) is the source of this 358-nucleotide long non-coding RNA. RefSeq lists it as uncharacterized. The transcript is spliced from 3 exons. The record is from RefSeq and is a predicted model, not a curated record. NCBI's taxonomy places the organism in Eukaryota, Metazoa, Chordata, Mammalia, Rodentia, Muridae.